UGCAGGUCGGUGGUGUCGACCCACGUGU
RNAcentral lists this small RNA (28 nucleotides) under Bombyx mori (domestic silkworm). RNAcentral describes it as "ovarian small RNA-2234". Lineage: Eukaryota; Metazoa; Arthropoda; Insecta; Lepidoptera; Bombycidae. The record is from RNAcentral.